UCUCCAGGCUCCGUCCGCAGCCUGGGGCCCGCAGUGUUUCCCUCACGUGACCAGGCCCUGCGGUGGGCGGUGCCUCUCUCGCUGGAGCCUGAGAGGAUUAUGAAAACUGGGCAGGCGGAGCGCGGCCAGGGGACCUGAGG
Heterocephalus glaber (naked mole-rat) is the source of this 140-nucleotide non-coding RNA. The record is from Ensembl. NCBI's taxonomy places the organism in Eukaryota, Metazoa, Chordata, Mammalia, Rodentia, Bathyergidae.